Molecule: long non-coding RNA, 590 nt
Organism: Uloborus diversus
Lineage: Eukaryota; Metazoa; Arthropoda; Arachnida; Araneae; Uloboridae
Exons: 3
Source: RefSeq, a predicted model, not a curated record
GGAAGAUUCGAUUGAUUUUUGUUUAUCUUCCAGCAAUGGCGUACAAAGUGUAGCGGCCAGAAAUCGCUAUCGCCGAUGACAAAUAUUUUGCUAUAUUCGCAUCCGCAGUUGAUUUGCAGAUGCUGUCCACUUGCACCUUCUCAACGCUGGAAUCUUCCAAGGGGGGUAGGAGAAUGGAAUUCUUCCAAAAGUUUCAGUUCCCAAGAAAUUUGAAAAUGACGGACGGAAUGCAACUGAUCAAACAAAGGUGCAAGUACCUACUGGGUUCCCUACUUGAACAGAAGAGGUCUCUGACAAUAACUGCAAAUAAUUGGAGUUGUUGAAAGAUGGUCAGGUUGUACCUACGAUUAUUACAUUUGAUCUCCAAGUAUGAGUGCCAAAGAUACUGAUGAUGGCAGCAAAGGAAACUAAUAAUUCCGCAUUUGUGAAAGCAAAUAAUGUUAGAAAUUGUGUAGCACAAAUCUGCAAUAAAUGAGUUUGUACUUGUAAUAAAUGUUUUGUUUUAUUGAAAACAAUGUUAACGAUGCACAAUUGAUAAGUUUAUAUAAUUUUGAUAAAUUUAAAAUUAAUGGUAGUUAUUGUUUAAUGAA